RNAcentral lists this ribosomal RNA (167 nucleotides) under uncultured bacterium. RNAcentral describes it as "partial 16S rRNA". It matches the Rfam family "Bacterial small subunit ribosomal RNA", at positions 338 to 522 of the family's 1533-position model. The record is from RNAcentral.
CCUACGGGGGGCGGCAGUAGGGAAUAUUGCGCAAUGGGGGAAACUCUGAUGCAGCGACGCCGCGUGAACGAUGAAGGCUUUCGGGUCGUAAAGUUCUGUCCUAGGGGACGAUAAUGACGGUACCCUAGGAGGAAGCCCCGGCUAACUACGUGCCAGCAGCCCCGGUC